AACAAACGCUGGCGGCGUGCCUAAUACAUGCAAGUCGAACGGGGAAAGCUUUCGGGUGAGUACUAGUGGCGCACGGGUGGGGAACGCGUGGAUAAUCUGCCUUAGAGUGGGGGAUAACUAGUCGAAAGAUUAGCUAAUACCGCAUAAGACCACGAGAGCUGCGGCUUUUGAGGUCAAAGGUUUUUCGCUCUAAGAUGAGUCCGCGUAAGAUUAGCUAGUUGGUGAGGUAACGGCUCACCAAGGCGACGAUCUUUAACUGGUCUGAGAGGAUGAUCAGUCACACUGGAACUGAGACACGGUCCAGACUCCUACGGGAGGCAGCAGUAGGGAAUAUUGCACAAUGGAGGAAACUCUGAUGCAGCGACGCCGCGUGAGUGAUGAAGGUCUUCGGGUCGUAAAGCUCUGUCGCAGGGGAAUAACACAAUGAAGGUACCCUGUAAGAAAGGAUCGGCUAACUUCGUG
This 462-nucleotide ribosomal RNA is filed under the name uncultured bacterium. RNAcentral's name for it is "partial 16S ribosomal RNA". It matches the Rfam family "Bacterial small subunit ribosomal RNA", at positions 29 to 507 of the family's 1533-position model. The record is from RNAcentral.